GUUGUUUUGAAGACGCAGUUGUCAUUUAGUUAUCUUAAACAUGCUGAAAAUGUCAGUAUGGCAUACAUUUCAGGCGAAAGACGGUCACAUUCAUUUAAAAGGUAUUUUGAAAGCAGACGUGACGAUAAAACAAUUUCAGGUUUGGGGAACGAGUAGAUUAUCACAAAGUUCAUUUCUUGACGACCUCAUAAUUUCACGAUUGUACACAUCGAUUUUAAAUUAGUUUCUGCAUUACACAUGCAAUGGCAGUACCUUUCCAAUUACUAUUUAUGUGUUGCGUCUAAAUUGAAGUUGUAACACUUUAUAGUAACUGAAAAGGGUAGAAAACUUCAUCAGAUGAGAAAAUGCUGAAGACACCUGGAAACAGCACCAGAUCAUUUUGUAUUGCAUCUAAUAAAAAGAAACAAACUGAGAUUUGGAUAGUUCCACUUCAAGGUAAAAAUAUUUAUCUCUUUUG
Molecule: long non-coding RNA, 457 nt
Filed under: Mytilus galloprovincialis (Mediterranean mussel)
Lineage: Eukaryota; Metazoa; Mollusca; Bivalvia; Mytilida; Mytilidae
Source: RNAcentral